UGGUGGAGCAAAGAGGGGAGGCCAGAGAGAUUUUGCGGCUUCUUCAGUUCAGCAUGUCAAAACACUAUACUUGGGAUGUUGAUUUCUGAGCCCCAACAAUACUGAUUUCCAGACCAGACUUUAGGCAAAGAAAGAACAGACUUCAAGCAAACUUUUCUCUACUGAAUAGGAUUAUAUAUUUUAUCACCUUGUGAAGAAUUUCAUCAGAAACAACAUCUCAUUGCAUAUUUGCAUCUUUUCUUGAAAAUUCCUCAA
RNAcentral lists this long non-coding RNA (255 nucleotides) under Homo sapiens (human). RNAcentral's name for it is "non-protein coding lnc-DCUN1D1-1:1". The record is from RNAcentral. Lineage: Eukaryota; Metazoa; Chordata; Mammalia; Primates; Hominidae.